RNAcentral lists this ribosomal RNA (624 nucleotides) under Triticum aestivum (bread wheat). RNAcentral's name for it is "partial small subunit ribosomal RNA". The record is from RNAcentral. Lineage: Eukaryota; Viridiplantae; Streptophyta; Magnoliopsida; Poales; Poaceae.
CGCACCCAUAAGCUGGCUCUCGGUUUUUCCGGACGACAACCACCUCUUUGAACUAAUGGACGUCAGGUUUGACAACGUCUUAUAAAAGAAGUCGGAAAGGUUUGGGAACUACGUGGUUCCUCCUGUGAAACUACGAUGACCGACGAGUUUGCCCGCUCCGUUGGGUCCUCUGGGACUACGGUGACCGGCACGUUGAACAUGGCGAGCCCGUGACGAAGACGCGAUGACGACGUAUCACUAGUACGAUGACUGCCUUUCCCGUGGUUCAACGAAGAAGCGCACCUAAGACGUCACCGAUGGGUUCCGCCACACGUGAAAGUAAUUAUUGACUACAUAAACUAUACGUGCCACAACGACUUUAACUAUGCGGACGUAAACUCAACUCUCUUUGGGAAAGCCCUUUCAUGCUGGAACGACAAGUCUAGGUUAACAUUUCGAUCGUGUCAAAAAAAAGCUUGGACUUCCACCGUAGGUCUCUUUUGAUGAAAGUCUUGUUGAUUAGUAAAGAGAGCAAAAAUCUAAUGAAUUAGCUCAAGUCGGAGGUUGAAUAAAGUAAGUACAGAAGACAUGACUACUCCGAAACUUAAACCUACGACAUUCUUUCAAGCCUAAUCCAUUAAUCAA